This 2001-nucleotide long non-coding RNA is filed under the name Sinocyclocheilus grahami. RNAcentral's name for it is "lncRNA (ENSSGRG00000055485.1)". The record is from RNAcentral. Lineage: Eukaryota; Metazoa; Chordata; Actinopteri; Cypriniformes; Cyprinidae.
AUUCAUAGUAAUACAAAUCUUGCAUUUUUCAUCCAUAUAGGAAUGCAGUAUCAAGGUGCUGAAUCGCAUAGCAGAGAAGAAACAAUCCCGACACAAAGAAACACAUCUUUCACUCGCUUGACAGUUAAAGACAAUGUCAGGUUCACUAAAGAAGAAGGAUAUGUGCCGUGGAUGUAUACACCAGAGUAUCCGACACCAAACCAUACCAGAUACUUCAUCCUGGAGGACGAUAAUGAAUCUCUGAAAGUCCUUUAUGGCGGAACAUACAAGGUUUCUCUUCAGAUUACGUACAGAAAAUUCAGUGAAAACGAAGAGGAAAUAUUUCUGCAACAUGAUAUUCGUCAUUACACUGAUGAAUAUGAUAGACCCCUGCCCUUGCUCACCCACUGGGAAACAGUCAACCUCAAAUACUGGAGGAAAAGUCUGUUCUCUGAGGGUAUUUUUUCUCUCAAAUCUGGGGACAGACUCAAGGUGUGGUCCAAGAAUCGGAACCUCAUUGACGUUGGAGGGACAAUUUCGCAAAAAACAGCCUUUGUGGCAUAUCCUCAUUUUUCCACAUGAGGAUACGGCGAAGAUAGAAAUCACAAAAAAGGCCAUUUCUUUUGUAGCUUUGCAUAAAAAUCAAAAGGGCUGCCAUGAAGUAUCACAUUCAUCUGAGAUGACCUUAUGGUCUAAACAGAUUCUUCUUCCGUCAACAGAAUAAUUUGAAUCUCAGAUUUAUUUGUGCUAUAAUCAAUAGCAGAGGUAUGUACAGAAGAAAACCCUUAUGAAAAAAUACUGCGAUACAGUAACGGUGUCACAAGGUAAUACCAGGGUAUUUUGAUAUCAAGUAUGGUACUGAAAAUCAUUCCUUCUAGGGUAGUUUUUCAAGAAUAUCAUGGUACAUGUAAAACAGCAUGCUAAUAACAUAGUAUUUUGUGGUAUUUUCUUUUGUAUGAGAAGACUGUUCUGCUUCACGGUUGGGGACAAAACAGGCAUUGGCUUGGGUUUUUAAAACAUUUUUAAGCACUACAACUGUGGAGGAAUUGUAAUUUAGUAAUGAAGUUGUAUUUUUGUUUCAUUUUGAUUGAAUUUGGUACGAAAAUAUACCGUUGUAUGCAUUAACACACUUUAUACAACAGUUCGUUCUGGUUCUCAAAUCUGAUUGGUUGAGAACCGUAAUAUAUUGUACUGGUAUCGCAAAAGAAACCGCCUUUCACAACUUGUUCUAGCCGGGUCUAUGUUUUUUUUUUUUUUAUUAUUCACUGAGCUAAUCGUAGAGUACGUUAGUUAAUAUAAGAAGAAUCGUCUAGCUUCGCGGUCUCUCUCUCUCUCUCAUUUGGAUGCACGUCUUGCCGCAUUGUUUCUCUCUUAUAACCUCAUUAUUUCUCUCUAAUAACCUAACUGAAGCAGCACAUGCCCUUGAUACCAAUUCUAAAAGUGACGUAUGUUUAACUAUCAGCUUGAGCUUUGAAUCCGUGGCGGAAGGAAGUAGUUCCGCACAAAAGAGGGUUUUAUUAGGCACUCCGUUGUUUCUUGUUUAACUACACACAUGUUGCCUCGAACUUUUGUAUAAACGCAAUAUCACUCUCGUACUCGAGCGAUACCGGCUCUAUAUCAGCGGCUCGUGCCUCUGGCCUAAUCACAGCCAUGCUGAUAUAGAGCCGGUAUCGCUAUCGUACUCGAGUGAUAUUGCUACUAUAAUAUUUAUGCCAUUGUAAUGUCUUUAUAUGCUUUUGUAUGUUAUUAUUGUCUGAUUAAGGAUUUGGGCUGUUAAUGCAAAGGUUACCGGUUCAGUAACAUUAUGGAGUGAAGAGAAUGAUCAAUACCCUGUAUUGCUCUGUUCCCUAGUGUGUUUUUGAGGUGCAUCAUGGUUGCUGUCAUUGGAAUUUGUAGGCUAUAAGUUACUUUGUAUUAAAUAGGUUUGCAAUCACCAAAUAUGACCUUCAUAAUGAAAUUGCAUUAAAAAAUCAUUUUAUGUAUUUGAAUACAUCUUCAUACUGACAUUAUUCUUUGACCACG